UUCGUAGGUGAACCUGCGGAAGGAUCAUUAUCGUACAACAUGUGUGAGGCGUGCGAGGGCUGUCGCUGACUUCAAAGUCGUGCACGCCGGAGUGCGUCCUCUCACAUUAAAAUCCAUCUCACCCUUUUGUGCACCACCGCGUGGGCACCCUUUGGGAUCGAAUCGAUCCAGGAGGGGGCUUGCGUUUUCACACAAACCCCUUUUAAAAAGUGUAGAAUGACCCCACUUUGCGAUGACACGCAAUCAAUACAACUUUCAACAACGGAUCUCUUGGCUCUCGCAUCGAUGAAGAACGCAGCGAAAUGCGAUACGUAAUGUGAAUUGCAGAAUUCAGUGAAUCAUCGAAUCUUUGAACGCACCUUGCGCCCCUUGGUAUUCCGAGGGGCACACCCGUUUGAGUGUCGUGAAAAUCUCAACCUUCUCGGUUUUCUUCUGGACGCCGAAGGAGGCUUGGACUUUGGAGGCCUUUGCUGGCAUCUCUCUCUUUUCGAGAGCCAGCUCCUCUUAAAUGAAUUAGCGGGGUCCUCUUUGCCGAUCCUUGACAUGUGAUAAGAUGUUUCCAUGACUUGGUUUCUGGCUCUGUUGCCUUUGGGACCCGCUUCUAACCGUCUCGACGAGACAAUGUUUGGGCGUGUCUCCCUUCUCGGGAAACACUCUCAACCCCAUGAACCCUUGACCUCAAAUCGGGUGAGACUACCCGCUGAACUUAAGCAUAUCAAUAAGCGGAGGA
This 730-nucleotide ribosomal RNA is filed under the name Lactarius sanguifluus. Its description in RNAcentral is "eukaryotic LSU rRNA". The stretch from base 251 to 404 matches the Rfam family "5.8S ribosomal RNA". The record is from RNAcentral. Lineage: Eukaryota; Fungi; Basidiomycota; Agaricomycetes; Russulales; Russulaceae.